UCGAGUUCUUUGAAAAGGGUUGCAGCUGGCCUCUCCGGGGGCAAGUGCUCGCCUUGCUCAAAAUUUCGCUCUUCAAACACCUGUGCACUCUUUACUGCGUGGUUUUUCCGAGGAGGAGUGAACGGAAAGGUGGCCUUGGUUGUUGCCUUUCGAGAAACUCCUUGUCGGGAGGGCCUCCUGUCUUAUUUACAACGCCUUCCGAGUUUUUGAAUGUACAUUUUGAACAAAAAUUAUUAAAA
RNAcentral lists this unclassified non-coding RNA (239 nucleotides) under uncultured Basidiomycota. RNAcentral's name for it is "sequence contains ITS1". Lineage: Eukaryota; Fungi; Basidiomycota. The record is from RNAcentral.